CCCGAUCCCUUCUCCCCUCACCUCGCGAUGCCGCCCCCGCCUCCUCCGCCGACCUCUUCUUUCCCCGAUCUCGCUGAAGCUCCUCCUCCCUUUCCCUCUUGCGAUUUUUCCCUUGGUAGAUCGCCGACCACCGCUCCUCUCUCGAUCCCGUCGCCACCACCGAAUCGCCGUUGCGUGGUCGUCCCUCUGCUAGCCACGGACACCAAGUGCAUGUCGGAAGCCUUCAUUUUUGUGCUCGUGCCCUUGCCCCAGCCGCUCACUCUUGCGAGCCCUAAUCACCCGAUGUUGCUGAUCGACGCUCGUAGCUGAUCACCUGUCCAAGACGAGGUGCAACCUUGACACAGUAAGUAACCCAACACCUUGGUCCUGAUGCGUUGCCGAUCAUCGCAAUCAGCAGCUGCUUCUUCUUCCCCUGCACGAGAGCUGCCGACCGAGGAAAAGAGGCACUAUCUCUAGGGGUCCAGCUAUACUUUUUCUUCUCCUCUCGCCUUCAAGGUGCGAUUGAUAACUGGCUUAGAGUCACUCGAUCACACUGAGAAUAACCACUACCGGUUAAAGAAUUGGGGAUCAUUUGAGGGAUGCUCUUUGGUAGCUGUCGGGCAGAGGCUUGUAAGGCUGUGAGUUUUUGAUUUGCUGCUAUACCUCAAGGUAAGUGAUUUUCAGUGAGGUAUCUCUGUUAUUUCCAUUAGUAGGUUGCUAAAUUGGAUUUUCUAAGGGGUGUAGGGUUGUGUUCUUGCUUAGAUCAAUUAGUAGUGAAUGGUUGUUCAUGUGUGGUUAAUGGAGUUGAUUUCAGAUUUCUUGUGGUGGUUGGGUGGUUAAUUUAAGUUUAUUGUGAGGUAGGAUUGAUUCAUUUGUGUGUUUGGAGAUUAGUGUACAUUUUGUUGAUGAUUUGGUUGUUAAGUGAUGAUGAUGCUAGGUUUGAUUACAUGUGGUUACUAAAUAUGAAUGUGAAUUGGAAGAUGAAAUAAUCGGUUUUGAUUGGGGAUUAGUGAAUUUUGUUGGAUGAUAUGAUUAAACUUAAAAUUAAUCAAUUGCAUGAAUUGAGUAUGUUGGAUUUAAGUUGAAUUGACUUAUUAGUAAAUGGAUUGCUAUAUGAAUCAAUUCAAGAGUUGAUAAGGUUGGGAUUAGAUUUGGAUUUAGCUAGUUGUUGAUUAUAAAAUUAGUUAAAUUGUAUAAUAUAUGAUUUGUAGGACGUUGUUUCGAGAUGAGCACUUCGACACGGGGGUUUGUUUAGCUCGAUCUAUAUUAAAGGUGGGUACUUCUUACUUUGACUCUUUAGUUCUUUGAACUUAGUGCAUGAGCUAACUUUGGUUAGAAACGGCUUUUACCUUGACUCCACUCUUAUUUUUCCUGCGCUUGAUACUUCCACUCGAUCUUUGAGAUAUUCAUCUUUAUAUCUAUACAGUCUCUCAUUGUUAUCCAUGAUAGGUAGCAUGCAGAUACUAGAUACCAUGGUUGUAUGCUUUAACUGUUAUUUAUUUAAGUAUCGUAUUGAGCAUGUUGACUUCAUGUAACAUACCUAUUUUUUUUUUUGCUUAUAUUGGUAUGAUGACUUGUUUAUUUAUGUACCGUAUCGAGCAUGAUGGCUUCAUGUAGCAUACCUAAUUUCUGCUUAUAUUUGUAUGAUGAUUGUUGCAUCUUACACAUCAUGUCAUUGCAUGCAUGUCAAUGACAAAUUCUCCCUUGUGGUCGAGAGAGUCGUUGACUAGGGUCGCACGCUCAUCCACUUGAGAGAGUGGUAGUUGGAGCAGAUGCCGCUUGUCCUGUCGUGCUCCCACUCGGUCACUCAUAGGUAGUGAUAGCUAGAGUUGCGAGCAGCAGGGACCCCCGUUGCAGACGUAGCUAGUUAGCUACUAUGCAACUGUCCCCUCAGCCACUCGAGAGAGUGGUAGCUGGAGUGGUGUACAGUCUGUCAUUGACCCGACCUCUUGACCAUAUAAGGGUCAUGGUGCAGAGAGGUGGGCGGGAGUGACCAUCCAUGCAUACGCUGUUAUUAUAUUUGCUUUGGCUGCUGCUAUUUACAUAUGUUUUUAUUGCUUACUUAUGUUGAUGUGGUAUACUUAUGCUGUUAUAGCUUACUGUUGUUGUUCACUUAUGCGGAUAUGCUUACUUAUGUUGAGAUAUACACUCAUUGUAGGUGUUUAGACACUAUUUAUUUAUUGGUAAAAUGGAUACAUCUCACAUAUUUACCCUUGCAGUUAUAGGCAGUUCUGUAGCAGGUUUGUGUCACCCCUGACCUUCUAUUACCUAGCCUAGGAUAUGGUUUCAGGUAUCAGGUAGAUGAGUCAUGGAUGCUUGGAGAGAUGUUGCUUGCCAGUCUUGCAUUAUAUCUGAGGAAUGAUUUUGGUUUUUGUUUCUCUUUACUUGCAUUUCGUAUUCGUUGGAUUUGGUGUUGUGAGAACUAACUAUGUUUUGACACUGGUUGUGUGGACUUUGUAUCUGCGAUGUUUUGUGGACUCUGCAUUUGUGGGUUUUUUUUCCGUUAUUUCGUUGUGUUUUCAGUGCAGCCGUGUGGGUUGUUAGUGAUAUAAACUGUGUUGGUGUUGUUGUUU
This is a long non-coding RNA of Zingiber officinale, 2552 nucleotides long. RefSeq lists it as uncharacterized. Lineage: Eukaryota; Viridiplantae; Streptophyta; Magnoliopsida; Zingiberales; Zingiberaceae. The record is from RefSeq and is a predicted model, not a curated record. The transcript has 3 exons.